RNAcentral lists this ribosomal RNA (368 nucleotides) under uncultured bacterium. RNAcentral's name for it is "bacterial SSU rRNA". It matches the Rfam family "Bacterial small subunit ribosomal RNA", at positions 28 to 396 of the family's 1533-position model. The record is from RNAcentral.
GACGAACGCUGGCGGCGUGCUUAACACAUGCAAGUCGAGCGGUAAGGCCCUUUCGGGGGUACGACGAGCGGCGAACGGGUGAGUAACACGUGGGUGACCUGCCCUCAGCUCUGGGAUAAGCCUGGGAAACCGGGUCUAAUACCGGAUAUGACUCCAUGACGCAUGUUGUGGGGUGGAAAGCCUUGUGCGGCUGAGGAUGGGCCCGCGGCCUAUCAGCUUGUUGGUGGGGUGAUGGCCUACCAAGGCGACGACGGGUAGCCGGCCUGAGAGGGCGACCGGCCACACUGGGACUGAGACACGGCCCAGACUCCUACGGGAGGCAGCAGUGGGGAAUCUUGCGCAAUGGGCGAAAGCCUGACGCAGCGACG